RNAcentral lists this long non-coding RNA (594 nucleotides) under Pan troglodytes (chimpanzee). Its description in RNAcentral is "long non-coding RNA NONPTRT017864". The record is from RNAcentral. Lineage: Eukaryota; Metazoa; Chordata; Mammalia; Primates; Hominidae.
CGCGCCGGGAAUGGGCGGCGGCAGGCGCGCGGGGCACAGGUUCCUGACGGGGCGCAGCUUUUCCCGGAAGGCAGGCAGCCUGAGAAGGGCUUCGUUUUUGCGCAGUAGGACGUUGAAGAAAGGACAAGCCCCCUUUGUCCUGGACGUAAGCCGCAAGUCGUCCAGAGUGGUGCACACCGCGAAGACUGAGGAAACUGGAUCACAGGGCUGGGCCGUGAGCCUUGAACCUCGGAGAACGUCGCAUUACUGCUCCAGCGCGCCGGUUCAGGGCCGCGGGACGCGAGCCCUUUAAAAGGAUGGAUUUGCUUCCUGUGACUCCCUGGAAGAGACGUCUUCACCACCGCACUACGUAGAGGCCGGCGUCGUCGCCCGCUCACCCCGCUUGCUGCCUCCCCGCACAAAGCCCAGCCCAGGUAGCUCAGGUUAGCUGGAGCCCCGGAGCCUCACCUGGCCUGGCCUAGGUUGUGUGGGGACGGGAUGUGGCUUCUGCAAGCCCAGAAACCUGUUUCCACUCCCCCACCACAAAUGGAACUCACCCAGCUCUACUCGCAAGGAACUCCUUACAUGUUGAAGAAUAUUAGUCUGUUGUCACAU